GUCCAGUCUGAGUGCUUUGCAGUGGUGUUUACAACUGAUUAAUCACAACGAGUUACACAUUUCUUUGUUCCUUCUCUGUUUCCACUGCUUCAUUUGACUAGCCUUAA
RNAcentral lists this Y RNA (107 nucleotides) under Carlito syrichta (Philippine tarsier). RNAcentral describes it as "Y RNA (ENSTSYG00000023243.2)". It matches the Rfam family "Y RNA". Rfam says of the family: Y RNAs are components of the Ro ribonucleoprotein particle (Ro RNP), in association with Ro60 and La proteins. The Y RNAs and Ro60 and La proteins are well conserved, but the function of the Ro RNP is not known. Lineage: Eukaryota; Metazoa; Chordata; Mammalia; Primates; Tarsiidae. The record is from Rfam by way of RNAcentral.